Molecule: ribosomal RNA, 440 nt
Filed under: uncultured bacterium
Lineage: Bacteria
Description: partial 16S ribosomal RNA
Rfam family: Bacterial small subunit ribosomal RNA
Source: RNAcentral
CCUACGGGAGGCAGCAGUGGGGAAUAUUGCACAAUGGGGGAAACCCUGAUGCAGCGACGCCGCGUGAGUGAAGAAGUAAUUCGUUAUGUAAAGCUCUAUCAGCAGGGAAGAAAAUGACGGUACCUGAGUAAUAAGCCCCGGCUAACUACGUGCCAGAAGCCGCGGUAAUACGUAGGGGGCAAGCGUUAGCCGGAUUUACUGGGUGGAAAGGGAGCGGAGACGGCAGUGCAAGUCUGGAGUGAAAGGCGGGGGCUCAACCCCCGGACUGCUCUGGAAACUGGACGGCUGGAGUGCAGGAGAGGUAAGUGGAAUUCCUAGUGUAGCGGUGAAAUGCGUAGAUAUUAGGAGGAACACCAGUGGCGAAGGCGGCUUACUGGACUGUAACUGACGUUGGGGCUCGAAAGCGUGGGGAGCAAACAGGAUUAGAUACCCGGGUAGUC